RNAcentral lists this ribosomal RNA (158 nucleotides) under Viridiella fridericiana. RNAcentral describes it as "5.8S ribosomal RNA". It matches the Rfam family "5.8S ribosomal RNA". From Rfam's summary of the family: 5.8S ribosomal RNA (5.8S rRNA) is a component of the large subunit of the eukaryotic ribosome. It is transcribed by RNA polymerase I as part of the 45S precursor that also contains 18S and 28S rRNA. The record is from RNAcentral. Lineage: Eukaryota; Viridiplantae; Chlorophyta; Trebouxiophyceae; Watanabeales; Watanabeaceae.
CAACUCUCAACAACGGAUAUCUUGGCUCCCGUAACGAUGAAGAACGCAGCGAAAUGCGAUACCUAGUGUGAAUUGCAGAAUUCCGUGAAUCAUCGAGUUUUUGAACGCAUAUUGCGCUCGCGGCCUCGGCCAAGAGCAUGCCUGCCUCAGCCUCUGCU